This is a non-coding RNA of Chelonoidis abingdonii (Abingdon island giant tortoise), 232 nucleotides long. Lineage: Eukaryota; Metazoa; Chordata; Testudines; Testudinidae. The record is from RefSeq and is a predicted model, not a curated record.
AUGAAAAGCUCCGGAGGGCCCAGGAUGGAGGGUGGGCGGGGUAUGCCCUCUCGCAGGACCCAGUUGAGGUAAGCCCGACCAGCAGGCGGCAGAGCGGCCUUCACCUCCUGUAGUACGUGCCGGGGAGUACAAGAUCUGGAGAGCCCCAUACGCCGAGUGAGCGUCAAGGGAUCCAGCCAGUCUCCCCGGUCGUAGUCCAGGAGGUCUCCGACCCUAGUACUUUGUUGGCUGU